AUGGCGGAGUGGCGCCGACGCCACCCGGAGGACGUCGCCUACGAGCAAGGCUAUUGGGCAAGGCGUCGCGAGGAGGACACGCGAAGGCGCCGCGAGGCGCGGUUGGACAGGCGUCAGCGGAAGGCGUUGGCGAACGCGCAGACCGAUCUCGUUGCAGCAGGCGGGAGGUCGUUCUUCACGGAGAACGAUGAUCGUUGGUUGGACAUAUGGCUAUCAACCUCAGACGACACCGCAGAGGAUGAUAAUGGUGAUGAUGAUGAUAGCGACUUAGAGUAG
RNAcentral lists this ribosomal RNA (276 nucleotides) under Triticum aestivum (bread wheat). RNAcentral describes it as "partial small subunit ribosomal RNA". Lineage: Eukaryota; Viridiplantae; Streptophyta; Magnoliopsida; Poales; Poaceae. The record is from RNAcentral.